ACUCCUACGGGAGGCAGCAGUAGGGAAUAUUGGGCAAUGGCCGAGAGGCUGACCCAGCCAUGCCGCGUGCAGGAAGAAGGCCUUCUGGGUUGUAAACUGCUUUUAUCUGGGAAGAAAACGCCCCUGCGGGGGUAACUGACGGUACCAGAUGAAUAAGCACCGGCUAACUCCGUGCCAGCCAGCAGCCGCGGUAAUA
RNAcentral lists this ribosomal RNA (196 nucleotides) under uncultured Gammaproteobacteria bacterium. RNAcentral describes it as "partial 16S ribosomal RNA". It matches the Rfam family "Bacterial small subunit ribosomal RNA", at positions 335 to 525 of the family's 1533-position model. Lineage: Bacteria; Pseudomonadati; Pseudomonadota; Gammaproteobacteria. The record is from RNAcentral.